UCUUAUGGAUGAGCAGAGAAAGUGGUUUCUUAAGAUAGACUCCUUUUCUGGUGAAGAUGCAGUGAA
RNAcentral lists this microRNA precursor (66 nucleotides) under Marmota monax (woodchuck). The record is from RNAcentral. Lineage: Eukaryota; Metazoa; Chordata; Mammalia; Rodentia; Sciuridae.